This 2114-nucleotide ribosomal RNA is filed under the name Escherichia coli. RNAcentral's name for it is "partial 23S ribosomal RNA". It matches the Rfam family "Bacterial large subunit ribosomal RNA", at positions 711 to 2808 of the family's 2925-position model. Lineage: Bacteria; Pseudomonadati; Pseudomonadota; Gammaproteobacteria; Enterobacterales; Enterobacteriaceae. The record is from RNAcentral.
AGACCCGAAACCCGGUGAUCUAGCCAUGGGCAGGUUGAAGGUUGGGUAACACUAACUGGAGGACCGAACCGACUAAUGUUGAAAAAUUAGCGGAUGACUUGUGGCUGGGGGUGAAAGGCCAAUCAAACCGGGAGAUAGCUGGUUCUCCCCGAAAGCUAUUUAGGUAGCGCCUCGUGAAUUCAUCUCCGGGGGUAGAGCACUGUUUCGGCAAGGGGGUCAUCCCGACUUACCAACCCGAUGCAAACUGCGAAUACCGGAGAAUGUUAUCACGGGAGACACACGGCGGGUGCUAACGUCCGUCGUGAAGAGGGAAACAACCCAGACCGCCAGCUAAGGUCCCAAAGUCAUGGUUAAGUGGGAAACGAUGUGGGAAGGCCCAGACAGCCAGGAUGUUGGCUUAGAAGCAGCCAUCAUUUAAAGAAAGCGUAAUAGCUCACUGGUCGAGUCGGCCUGCGCGGAAGAUGUAACGGGGCUAAACCAUGCACCGAAGCUGCGGCAGCGACACUGUGUGUUGUUGGGUAGGGGAGCGUUCUGUAAGCCUGUGAAGGUGUACUGUAAGGUAUGCUGGAGGUAUCAGAAGUGCGAAUGCUGACAUAAGUAACGAUAAAGCGGGUGAAAAGCCCGCUCGCCGGAAGACCAAGGGUUCCUGUCCAACGUUAAUCGGGGCAGGGUGAGUCGACCCCUAAGGCGAGGCCGAAAGGCGUAGUCGAUGGGAAACAGGUUAAUAUUCCUGUACUUGGUGUUACUGCGAAGGGGGGACGGAGAAGGCUAUGUUGGCCGGGCGACGGUUGUCCCGGUUUAAGCGUGUAGGCUGGUUUUCCAGGCAAAUCCGGAAAAUCAAGGCUGAGGCGUGAUGACGAGGCACUACGGUGCUGAAGCAACAAAUGCCCUGCUUCCAGGAAAAGCCUCUAAGCAUCAGGUAACAUCAAAUCGUACCCCAAACCGACACAGGUGGUCAGGUAGAGAAUACCAAGGCGCUUGAGAGAACUCGGGUGAAGGAACUAGGCAAAAUGGUGCCGUAACUUCGGGAGAAGGCACGCUGAUAUGUAGGUGAAGUCCCUCGCGGAUGGAGCUGAAAUCAGUCGAAGAUACCAGCUGGCUGCAACUGUUUAUUAAAAACACAGCACUGUGCAAACACGAAAGUGGACGUAUACGGUGUGACGCCUGCCCGGUGCCGGAAGGUUAAUUGAUGGGGUCAGCGCAAGCGAAGCUCUUGAUCGAAGCCCCGGUAAACGGCGGCCGUAACUAUAACGGUCCUAAGGUAGCGAAAUUCCUUGUCGGGUAAGUUCCGACCUGCACGAAUGGCGUAAUGAUGGCCAGGCUGUCUCCACCCGAGACUCAGUGAAAUUGAACUCGCUGUGAAGAUGCAGUGUACCCGCGGCAAGACGGAAAGACCCCGUGAACCUUUACUAUAGCUUGACACUGAACAUUGAGCCUUGAUGUGUAGGAUAGGUGGGAGGCUUUGAAGUGUGGACGCCAGUCUGCAUGGAGCCGACCUUGAAAUACCACCCUUUAAUGUUUGAUGUUCUAACGUGGACCCGUGAUCCGGGUUGCGGACAGUGUCUGGUGGGUAGUUUGACUGGGGCGGUCUCCUCCUAAAGAGUAACGGAGGAGCACGAAGGUUGGCUAAUCCUGGUCGGACAUCAGGAGGUUAGUGCAAUGGCAUAAGCCAGCUUGACUGCGAGCGUGACGGCGCGAGCAGGUGCGAAAGCAGGUCAUAGUGAUCCGGUGGUUCUGAAUGGAAGGGCCAUCGCUCAACGGAUAAAAGGUACUCCGGGGAUAACAGGCUGAUACCGCCCAAGAGUUCAUAUCGACGGCGGUGUUUGGCACCUCGAUGUCGGCUCAUCACAUCCUGGGGCUGAAGUAGGUCCCAAGGGUAUGGCUGUUCGCCAUUUAAAGUGGUACGCGAGCUGGGUUUAGAACGUCGUGAGACAGUUCGGUCCCUAUCUGCCGUGGGCGCUGGAGAACUGAGGGGGGCUGCUCCUAGUACGAGAGGACCGGAGUGGACGCAUCACUGGUGUUCGGGUUGUCAUGCCAAUGGCACUGCCCGGUAGCUAAAUGCGGAAGAGAUAAGUGCUGAAAGCAUCUAAGCACGAAACUUGCCCCGAGAUGAG